Molecule: non-coding RNA, 65 nt
Organism: Dipodomys ordii (Ord's kangaroo rat)
Lineage: Eukaryota; Metazoa; Chordata; Mammalia; Rodentia; Heteromyidae
Source: Rfam
GGUGGCUCAAUGGUAGAGUGCAUACUUUGCAAGCAUGAGGCCCUGGGUUCGAUUCCUCAGCACCA